Molecule: ribosomal RNA, 222 nt
Filed under: Bacillus sp. U
Lineage: Bacteria; Bacillati; Bacillota; Bacilli; Caryophanales; Bacillaceae
Description: partial 16S ribosomal RNA
Rfam family: Bacterial small subunit ribosomal RNA
Source: RNAcentral
AGGGCAGGACGGUUAACCAAUCCUACAAAUUUUUCAGUUGGAUCGCAGUUGCAACUGAUGCGUGAAGCUGGAAUCGUAGUAAUCGCGGAUCAGCAUGCCGCGGUGAAUACGUUCCCGGGCCUUGUACACACCGCCCGUCACACCACGAGAGUUUGUAACACCCGAAGUCGGUGAGGUAACUUUUAAGGAGCCAGCCGCCGAAGGUGGACAGAUGAUUGGGGG